UACGUAGGGUGCGAGCGUUGUCCGGAAUUAUUGGGCGUAAAGAGCUUGUAGGCGGUUGUCGCGUCUGCCGUGAAAUCCGGGGCUCAACCCGGACUUGCGGUGGGUACGGGCAGACUAGAGUGUGGUAGGGGAGACUGGAAUUCCUGGUGUAGCGGUGAAAUGCGCAGAUAUCAGGAGGAACACCGAUGGCGAAGGCAGGUCUCUGGGCCACUACUGACGCUGAGAAGCGAAAGCGUGGGGAGCGAACAGG
RNAcentral lists this ribosomal RNA (250 nucleotides) under uncultured bacterium. Its description in RNAcentral is "partial 16S ribosomal RNA". It matches the Rfam family "Bacterial small subunit ribosomal RNA", at positions 524 to 776 of the family's 1533-position model. The record is from RNAcentral.